This 824-nucleotide ribosomal RNA is filed under the name uncultured bacterium. RNAcentral describes it as "bacterial SSU rRNA". It matches the Rfam family "Bacterial small subunit ribosomal RNA", at positions 8 to 796 of the family's 1533-position model. The record is from RNAcentral.
AGAGUUUGAUCAUGGCUCAGGACGAACGCUGGCGGCGUGCCUAAUACAUGCAAGUCGAGCGAGCGGAACCAACAGAUUUACUUCGGUAAUGACGUUGGGAAAGCGAGCGGCGGAUGGGUGAGUAACACGUGGGGAACCUGCCCCUAAGUCUGGGAUACCAUUUGGAAACAGGUGCUAAUACCGGAUAAUAAAGCAGAUCGCAUGAUCAGCUUUUGAAAGGCGGCGUAAGCUGUCGCUAAGGGAUGGCCCCGCGGUGCAUUAGCUAGUUGGUAAGGUAACGGCUUACCAAGGCGACGAUGCAUAGCCGAGUUGAGAGACUGAUCGGCCACAUUGGGACUGAGACACGGCCCAAACUCCUACGGGAGGCAGCAGUAGGGAAUCUUCCACAAUGGACGCAAGUCUGAUGGAGCAACGCCGCGUGAGUGAAGAAGGAGGUUUUCGGAUCGUAAAGCUCUGUUGUUGGUGAAGAAGGGUAGAGGUAGUAACUGGCCUUUAUUUGACGGUAAUCAACCAGAAAGUCACGGCUAACUACGUGCCAGCAGCCGCGGUAAUACGUAGGUGGCAAGCGUUGUCCGGAUUUAUUGGGCGUAAAGCGAGCGCAGGCGGAAAAAUAAGUCUAAUGUGAAAGCCCUCGGCUUAACCGAGGAACUGCAUCGGAAACUGUUUUUCUUGAGUGCAGAAGAGGAGAGUGGAACUCCAUGUGUAGCGGUGGAAUGCGUAGAUAUAUGGAAGAACACCAGUGGCGAAAGGCGGCUCUCUGGUCUGCAACUGACGCUGAGCUCGAAAGCAUGGGUAGCGAACAGGAUUAGAUACCCUGGUAGUCC